GAGUUUGAUCCUGGCUCAGAUUGAACACUGGCGGCAGGCUUAACACAUGCAAGUCGAACGGUAACAUGAGUGCUUGCACUUGAUGACGAGUGGCGGACGGGUGAGUAAAGUAUGGGGAUCUGCCGAAUGGAGGGGGACAACAGUUGGAAACGACUGCUAAUACCGCAUAAAGUUGAGAGACCAAAGCAUGGGGCUUACGGGCCAUGCGCCAUUCGAUGAGCCCAUAUGGGAUUAGCUAGUUGGUAGGGUAAUGGCUUACCAAGGCGACGAUCUCUAGCUGGUCUGAGAGGAUGACCAGCCACACUGGAACUGAGACACGGUCCAGACUCCUACGGGAGGCAGCAGUGGGGAAUAUUGCACAAUGGGGGGAACCCUGAUGCAGCCAUGCCGCGUGUAUGAAGAAGGCCUUCGGGUUGUAAAGUACUUUCGGUGAUGAGGAAGGUGGUGUAUCUAAUAGGUGCAUCAAUUGACGUUAAUUACAGAAGAAGCACCGGCUAACUCCGUGCCAGCAGCCGCGGUAAUACGGAGGGUGCGAGCGUUAAUCGGAAUGACUGGGCGUAAAGGGCAUGUAGGCGGAUAAUUAAGUUAGGUGUGAAAGCCCUGGGCUCAACCUAGGAAUUGCACUUAAAACUGAUUAACUAGAGUAUUGUAGAGGAAGGUAGAAUUCCACGUGUAGCGGUGAAAUGCGUAGAGAUGUGGAGGAAUACCGGUGGCGAAGGCGGCCUUCUGGACAGAUACUGACGCUGAGAUGCGAAAGCGUGGGGAGCAAACAGGAUUAGAUACCCUGGUAGUCCACGCUGUAAACGAUGUCGAUUUGGAGUUUGUUGCCUAGAGUGAUGGGCUCCGAAGCUAACGCGAUAAAUCGACCGCCUGGGGAGUACGGCCGCAAGGUUAAAACUCAAAUGAAUUGACGGGGGCCCGCACAAGCGGUGGAGCAUGUGGUUUAAUUCGAUGCAACGCGAAGAACCUUACCCGGUCUUGACAUCCACAGAAUCUUGCAGAGAUGCGAGAGUGCCUUCGGGAACUGUGAGACAGGUGCUGCAUGGCUGUCGUCAGCUCGUGUUGUGAAAUGUUGGGUUAAGUCCCGCAACGAGCGCAACCCUUAUCCUUUGUUGCCAUUGGUUAGGCCGGGAACUCAAAGGAGACUGCCGUUGAUAAAGCGGAGGAAGGUGGGGACGACGUCAAGUCAUCAUGGCCCUUACGACCAGGGCUACACACGUGCUACAAUGGCGUAUACAAAGGGAGGCGA
RNAcentral lists this ribosomal RNA (1249 nucleotides) under uncultured Gammaproteobacteria bacterium. RNAcentral's name for it is "bacterial SSU rRNA". It matches the Rfam family "Bacterial small subunit ribosomal RNA", at positions 9 to 1252 of the family's 1533-position model. The record is from RNAcentral. Lineage: Bacteria; Pseudomonadati; Pseudomonadota; Gammaproteobacteria.